This 800-nucleotide ribosomal RNA is filed under the name Pseudooceanicola sp. RNAcentral's name for it is "bacterial SSU rRNA". It matches the Rfam family "Bacterial small subunit ribosomal RNA", at positions 65 to 914 of the family's 1533-position model. The record is from RNAcentral. Lineage: Bacteria; Pseudomonadati; Pseudomonadota; Alphaproteobacteria; Rhodobacterales; Paracoccaceae.
AGCGCACCUUCGGGUGAGCGGCGGACGGGUGAGUAACGCGUGGGAACGUACCCAGAUCUGCGGAAUAGCCACUGGAAACGGUGAGUAAUACCGCAUACGCCCUUCGGGGGAAAGAUUUAUCGGAUUUGGAUCGGCCCGCGUUAGAUUAGAUAGUUGGUGGGGUAAUGGCCUACCAAGUCUACGAUCUAUAGCUGGUUUUAGAGGAUGAUCAGCCACACUGGGACUGAGACACGGCCCAGACUCCUACGGGAGGCAGCAGUGGGGAAUCUUAGACAAUGGGCGCAAGCCUGAUCUAGCCAUGCCGCGUGAGUGAUGAAGGCCUUAGGGUCGUAAAGCUCUUUCGCCAGGGAUGAUAAUGACAGUACCUGGUAAAGAAACCCCGGCUAACUCCGUGCCAGCAGCCGCGGUAAUACGGAGGGGGUUAGCGUUGUUCGGAAUUACUGGGCGUAAAGCGCGCGUAGGCGGACUAUUAAGUCAGGGGUGAAAUCCCGGGGCUCAACCCCGGAACUGCCCUUGAUACUGGUAGUCUUGAGUUCGAGAGAGGUGAGUGGAACUCCGAGUGUAGAGGUGAAAUUCGUAGAUAUUCGGAAGAACACCAGUGGCGAAGGCGGCUCACUGGCUCGAUACUGACGCUGAGGUGCGAAAGUGUGGGGAGCAAACAGGAUUAGAUACCCUGGUAGUCCACACCGUAAACGAUGAAUGCCAGUCGUCGGGUAGCAUGCUAUUCGGUGACACACCUAACGGAUUAAGCAUUCCGCCUGGGGAGUACGGUCGCAAGAUUAAAACUCAAAGGAAUUGAC